GUGCAAUACAACCAAUGUUAUAUACCUCUUAACUUGUCCAUGUGGUUAUCAUUAUGUGGGUAAAACGAUAAGAAAACUGAAAGUCAGAAUAGGAGAACAUAUUAAUAAUAUAAAGAAAAAAUGUAUUAAUCACAGCGUUUCGAAGCACUUUUUAGACCACCAUAAUGGUAACCCAGAGGGACUUCAAUUCAUAGGCAUAGAAAAAAAUUAAAGUCCAUUGGAGAGGGGGUUGUAAAGAUAAUAUUUUAAGCAAAGCAGAAAUGAGGUGGAUGUUCAACCUCAAUACCCUGACUCCUGAUGGUUUGAAUGUGGAUUUUGAAAUUACUCCCUUUUUAUAAUAUAUUUUUUAGAUGUAUUAUAAUUAUAUUAUGUAUUUUAAUCUAUUAUUAUUUUCUCUCCCCCUUUUUCUCUCCUCAUAUAUAUAUCCCUGUAUUGUUAAUGAGCUCUAUUUUAUCUUUUUA
Non-coding RNA from Pelobates cultripes (western spadefoot toad), 461 nucleotides. Lineage: Eukaryota; Metazoa; Chordata; Amphibia; Anura; Pelobatidae. The record is from the annotation of a GenBank genome assembly.